This 330-nucleotide unclassified non-coding RNA is filed under the name soil metagenome. RNAcentral describes it as "partial contains 5.8S ribosomal RNA, internal transcribed spacer 2, and large subunit ribosomal RNA". The stretch from base 6 to 121 matches the Rfam family "5.8S ribosomal RNA", at positions 39 to 154 of the family's 154-position model. The record is from RNAcentral.
GAUGAAAGAACGCAGCGAAAUGCGAUAAGUAAUGUGAAUUGCAGAAUUCAGUGAAUCAUCGAAUCUUUGAACGCACAUUGCGCCCCCUGGUAUUCCGGGGGGCAUGCCUGUCCGAGCGUCAUUACAACCCUCAAGCUCAGCUUGGUAUUGGGCCCCGCCGCUCCGGCGGGCCCUAAAGUCAGUGGCGGUGCCGUCCGGCUCCGAGCGUAGUAAUUCUUCUCGCUCUGGAGGUCCGGUCGUGUGCUCGCCAGCAACCCCCAAUUUUUUUCAGGUUGACCUCGGAUCAGGUAGGGAUACCCGCUGAACUUAAGCAUAUCAAUAAGCGGAGGA